GGCCUUAUAAUCUAGAGGUAUGAUACUUGCUUUGGGGCGCAAUUGCAAGUGGCCUGGGCUCGAAUCCCAAUAACGUCC
This is a non-coding RNA of Tephrocybe rancida, 78 nucleotides long. The record is from the annotation of a GenBank genome assembly. NCBI's taxonomy places the organism in Eukaryota, Fungi, Basidiomycota, Agaricomycetes, Agaricales, Lyophyllaceae.